Long non-coding RNA from Etheostoma spectabile (orangethroat darter), 163 nucleotides. RefSeq lists it as uncharacterized. The transcript is spliced from 3 exons. The record is from RefSeq and is a predicted model, not a curated record. Lineage: Eukaryota; Metazoa; Chordata; Actinopteri; Perciformes; Percidae.
UUAUUAGAAAGUGGAUAGACUGGAAAUGGGGAGAGAGAUGGGAGAUGACGGGCAGCAAAGGGCAGCGGGUCGGACCCCAACCCUGCACCGCUGCAGGGCCCAGCCAACAAGGGGCAAACGCGCCCACUGGGUGAGCCAGAGGCCGCCCCAAAAGACUGGCUUU